GACGGAGCAGGAAGGCUGGAGAUUUCAUCAAGCUACUCACAGCAGCAUGCCAUUUAAAAUUCAUGAAUUAUUUAUUUCUGGAAUUUUCCGUUUAAUAUUUUUGGACCACAAUUGACCUCAGAUUUUACUUUCUACUCUUGUCAGUCAUAUCUGCAAGGCUGACAGUUACCAGGGGCUGUGGCCAGGCAUGAGGGAGAAUGUGUCAUUGCUGGCUGCGUUGGUCAUAGCAACGUGUCUGCCUCAGAACAGAUCCAGCAUGGAUGAGCAAACAGAAAAAUGUGUAAGAAGGCUUGUGACUGAAACAGACCAAGGGUGAGU
RNAcentral lists this long non-coding RNA (318 nucleotides) under Homo sapiens (human). RNAcentral describes it as "HSALNT0030100". The record is from RNAcentral. Lineage: Eukaryota; Metazoa; Chordata; Mammalia; Primates; Hominidae.